GCCGCCUUAGCUCAGGGGUAGAGCAGCUCACUCGUAAUGAGCAGGCCCUCGGUUCAAUUCCGAGAGGCGGCUCCA
Molecule: transfer RNA, 75 nt
Filed under: Alphaproteobacteria bacterium
Lineage: Bacteria; Pseudomonadati; Pseudomonadota; Alphaproteobacteria
Also listed under: 2 other names
Description: tRNA-Thr
Rfam family: tRNA
About the family: Transfer RNA (tRNA) molecules are approximately 80 nucleotides in length.
Source: RNAcentral